AACGAACGCUGGCGGCAUGCCUAACACAUGCAAGUCGAACGAGACCUUCGGGUCUAGUGGCGCACGGGUGCGUAACGCGUGGGAACCUGCCUUUAGGUUCGGAAUAACUCAGAGAAAUUUGAGCUAAUACCGGAUGAUGUCUUCGGACCAAAGAUUUAUCGCCUUUAGAUGGGCCCGCGUUGGAUUAGCUAGUUGGUGGGGUAAAGGCCUACCAAGGCGACGAUCCAUAGCUGGUCUGAGAGGAUGAUCAGCCACACUGGGACUGAGACACGGCCCAGACUCCUACGGGAGGCAGCAGUGGGGAAUAUUGGACAAUGGGCGAAAGCCUGAUCCAGCAAUGCUGCGUGAGUGAUGAAGGCCUUAGGGUUGUAAAGCUCUUUUACCCGAGAUGAUAAUGACAGUAUCGGGAGAAUAAGCUCCGGCUAACUCCGUG
This 433-nucleotide ribosomal RNA is filed under the name uncultured bacterium. Its description in RNAcentral is "partial 16S ribosomal RNA". It matches the Rfam family "Bacterial small subunit ribosomal RNA", at positions 29 to 507 of the family's 1533-position model. The record is from RNAcentral.